CUUUUUAGAGUGUCCACGUCGGACAGGAAAUUCGUCCAGUAAUAAUGCAGCAAAUAGCCACGUCAUCGGUGAGUUAAGUUGGUUUGGGCUGUUGAUGUUUUCGGCCUGUUUUAUUUGCAUGUUCUGAACCCACUCUCUGCUGGCCCGAUGUCUUAAGCGUUGUUGUCGUAACCCUAAUACGUUCUUCCAUCUUCCAUCUCUCUUUUUUUUCUUUUUUUUUGCUAAAAAAUCUUUCAUCUCUCUUUCCAACUUCCAUAUCUUCCAUCUCUCUUUUCUCCAAAUCCGUAAUCUUCCAUCUCUCUUUUCAACUUCCAUCUCUUCCAUCUCUCUCUUCUCCAAAUCUGUUUUACUGACUAAUAACGCCAGUAACUCCUCUAAUAAAACCUUAGCUAAGCUCAUUCAAUGGAUCCUUUCGCCUUCCUCUCCAUUUUCCUAUUUAUAAAUCUGUUUUCUCAUCUUAUAUUUUCUAUCAAGAUUGAUAACUUUCUCUCUAACAUUCAUCGCGAUGGAACACACCAGCAAAUCUCCGAUCUCCACCGACCGCAAGACCGUCGACUCCUCCGCGUCUGUGAAACCAAACCGAAGUCCAUUGCUACCUCCGUGACUGUGAUGAAACCUAACGAGAAGGCUGCUGUUUCGUCCUCCAAUCCGAUGAACCCAGAGGCUGCUAACGCUCUCUCCCCCACGCGUGCCGACCAAGUGAUGUUGUUCAGAGAUGUUUCACCCGGCCCACGCGAAGCUGGCCUGAGGUUUCGUUUGAUUCACUUCUGAGAGGCUCGCAAUCCAAACACGAAAACCCUGAUUGGACAAGAAAUGCUCCUUAUCGACGAAGAGGGAACCGUGAUUCAGGGUUUUGUCCCAGCCGGACGUGUUGGGAUAUUUGAUCUGGUAGCUGGUUUUGUGUAUAACCUGAGCAACUUUUUCGGAUCCAGGAGCAAAGAGCAAUAUCGGGUUGCUGAUCAUGUCGCCACCGUAUCAUUUUCUUGGAAUUCUUCUUUGUCAGUGCUUGAGAACCCUCCGGUUUUGAUUCCAGACGAUAGGUUCAGGUUCCACAGCUAUGAAGAGUUUAGGGCCAACUGUGACUCUAGGGGUGAUCUUUAUGGUAAGACAUGUUUGAUUAUUCAGAGUAUAUGACACGUUUGGUAUAUUAUGAGAGUUGAUGUUUGAUGUCUGCAUAUUUAAAUUGUUUUGUUGCUGCAUUACCAUUAACAAUCACACAUAUAGUUUCAUUAGCCAUUAACAAUCACACAGAUAUCCUCGUGAGGUACCUACAACAAAACGUCCCAAGAGUGGCUAAUGGGUUUUCUACUUAUCUUCUUAUGCAGUGAUUGUUUUGUUGCUAUAUUCCAAGUCGUUUUUUUAUGUUUCUCUUUUGGCUUUGUGUUCUUUUCUUUUCAGACUUCUGGUUUUUGACUUUUAUGUUUAAGUUUUUUUAAUACAAUUUCGUUAUAUGGUUGCUUCUUAUCCUUCUGAGCAAUUUACAUAUUGUAUUAUGAUCUUUUAUGUAUUGUAUUUACCUAUGCUGCAAUUUGGUGUGAUGAGGACAGAGUGCUACGAGUCUUUUAAAUUUGUGAAUAUUCACAGACAUAAAGAGGGACAGUUAUAUCUUCUCAGGUUCGUUUCUUGGAGCAGAAGGUAGUAGUAGUAAAGACAAAACUCCACUUUUGAUAUUUUUUGUUUACGAUACUUCCAAAAUUUAGGAAAAUUUUGAUUUAAUUGUUCCAAUUGUCUCAAAUGAUGCAGUGUGCAGAUGCUUGAAGAGGAGGUGAGAAUCAGAAGAAACUAAACGCUCACGUAUUGUGAAUACGCACACACGUUUAGCCAUAACUAACACCCACCAUUAAUCAUCACCAUGGAGCACCAUCACACGAGCAGUGAUCCAAAAAGACAGGAUUGACUUUGCGCUCCAUCUAUAUGCACCACUCUAUUUGCUUUGUUUUUUUUUCUUUGUUGAUGUUUUUGGAUUGAAGUUUCCUUUAGUCAUAUAGAAUGACUCCCUGUUUUGAAACAAAGUGGAAGAAAAAAUGAUUUUAAUCAUUCAUUUUUUUUUUGCUUGAAUUGCCUACGUUAAUGAUUUGAAACUGUGAUUUACUAUUACGCAAUCAAAGCAAACAUUUUAAUACCU
Molecule: long non-coding RNA, 2125 nt
Organism: Brassica rapa (field mustard)
Lineage: Eukaryota; Viridiplantae; Streptophyta; Magnoliopsida; Brassicales; Brassicaceae
Source: RefSeq, a predicted model, not a curated record